RNAcentral lists this transfer RNA (75 nucleotides) under Clostridia bacterium. RNAcentral describes it as "tRNA-Thr". It matches the Rfam family "tRNA". Rfam says of the family: Transfer RNA (tRNA) molecules are approximately 80 nucleotides in length. Their secondary structure includes four short double-helical elements and three loops (D, anti-codon, and T loops). Further hydrogen bonds mediate the characteristic L-shaped molecular structure. tRNAs have two regions of fundamental functional importance: the anti-codon, which is responsible for specific mRNA codon recognition, and the 3' end, to which the tRNAs corresponding amino acid is attached (by aminoacyl-tRNA synthetases). tRNAs cope with the degeneracy of the genetic code in two manners: having more than one tRNA (with a specific anti-codon) for a particular amino acid; and 'wobble' base-pairing, i.e. permitting non-standard base-pairing at the 3rd anti-codon position. Lineage: Bacteria; Bacillati; Bacillota; Clostridia. The record is from RNAcentral.
GACCGCGUAGCGCAGACGGUAGCGCGGAGGAUUCGUAGAUCCUCAAAGUCGCUGGUUCGACUCCAGCCGCGGUCA